AAUAAAUGCAGUUUUACACUAUUUACGUUCAAACGUUCGACCGUUCGUCUUAUUUGAAUAUUUUUUAUGACUAGUAUUUUUAUUGCUAUUAUAUGAUAAAACAUAAAUAGUACUUUAUGUGUGACUAAAUAUUUUCAAUUUUUUCACAAAUUUUUCAAAUAAGAUGGACGAGUCAAACGUUGGGCACGGAUAUCCACGGCUACACUUAUU
This is a microRNA precursor of Oryza sativa Japonica Group (Japanese rice), 210 nucleotides long. It matches the Rfam family "MIR812 microRNA precursor family". Lineage: Eukaryota; Viridiplantae; Streptophyta; Magnoliopsida; Poales; Poaceae. The record is from Rfam.